UCAGCGUCUGCCAGCCUAAGUG
RNAcentral lists this microRNA (22 nucleotides) under Human betaherpesvirus 5. Its description in RNAcentral is "hcmv-miR-UL112". Lineage: Duplodnaviria; Heunggongvirae; Peploviricota; Herviviricetes; Herpesvirales; Orthoherpesviridae. The record is from RNAcentral.